Molecule: non-coding RNA, 98 nt
Organism: Stygiomarasmius scandens
Lineage: Eukaryota; Fungi; Basidiomycota; Agaricomycetes; Agaricales; Campanellaceae
Source: the annotation of a GenBank genome assembly
GGCCUGAUGGUCUAGUAGCAUGAUUCUCCCUUCGGGUUCGCCCGAGUCGCAUGGCUUACAUUUGGGAGAGGUCCCGGGUUCAAUUCCCGGUCAGGCCC